AGUGAACGCUGGCGGUAGGCCUAACACAUGCAAGUCGAACGGCAGCACAGUAAGAGCUUGCUCUUACGGGUGGCGAGUGGCGGACGGGUGAGGAAUACAUCGGAAUCUACUUUUUCGUGGGGGAUAACGUAGGGAAACUUACGCUAAUACCGCAUACGACCUACGGGUGAAAGCAGGGGAUCUUCGGACCUUGCGCGAUUGAAUGAGCCGAUGUCGGAUUAGAUAGUUGGCGGGGUAAAGGCCCACCAAGGCGACGAUCCGUAGCUGGUCUGAGAGGAUGAUCAGCCACACUGGAACUGAGACACGGUCCAGACGCCUACGGGAGGCAGCAGUGGGGAAUAUGGGACAAUGGGCGCAAGCCUGAUCCAGCCAUACCGCGUGGGUGAAGAAGGCCUUCGGGUUGUAAAGCCCUUUUGUUGGGAAAGAAAAGCAGCAGGUUAAUACCCCGCUGUUCUGACGGUACCCAAAGAAUAAGCACCGGCUAACUUCGUG
This 492-nucleotide ribosomal RNA is filed under the name uncultured bacterium. RNAcentral's name for it is "partial 16S ribosomal RNA". It matches the Rfam family "Bacterial small subunit ribosomal RNA", at positions 29 to 507 of the family's 1533-position model. The record is from RNAcentral.